UACAGAGGUCCCGAGCGUUGUUCGGAUUCACUGGGCGUAAAGGGUGCGUAGGUGGUGAGGUAAGUUUGAUGUGAAAUCUCCGGGCUUAACCCGGAAAUGGCAUUGAAUACUACUUUGCUGGAGGAUUGGAGGGGGGACUGGAAUUCUCGGUGUAGCAGUGAAAUGCGUAGAUAUCGAGAGGAACACCAGUGGCGAAGGCGAGUCCCUGGACAAUACCUGACACUGAGGCACGAAAGCCGGGGGAGCAAACAGGAUUAGAAACCCUCGUAGUCC
Molecule: ribosomal RNA, 273 nt
Filed under: uncultured bacterium
Lineage: Bacteria
Description: partial 16S ribosomal RNA
Rfam family: Bacterial small subunit ribosomal RNA
Source: RNAcentral